GGCGGCGUGGAUAAGACAUGCAAGUCGAACGGGGUAUUAUUUGUAGCAAUAUAAAUGAUACCCAGUGGCGCAAGGGUGUGUAACACGUGGGCAAUCUACCGAAAAGUGGGGAAUAGCUCGCCGAAAGGCGAAUUAAUACCGCAUAUGGCUAGGGGAGACAUCUUCUCAACGCCAAAGCCGGGGCAACCUGGCGCUUUCCGAUGAGCCCGCGGCCUAUCAGCUAGUUGGCGGGGUAACGGCCCACCAAGGCUAUGACGGGUAGCUGGUCUGAGAGGACGACCAGUCACACUGGAACUGAGACACGGUCCAGACACCUACGGGUGGCAGCAGUCGAGAAUUUUUCUCAAUGGGGGAAACCCUGAAGGAGCGACGCCGCGUGGAGGAUGAAGGUCUUCGGAUUGUAAACUCCUGUCAUUCGAGAACAAGGUUCGCGGAGUAACUGCCGUCGGACUCGAUAGUAUCGAAAGANGAAGGGACGGCUAACUCUGUGCCAGCAGCCGCGGUAAUACAGA
Molecule: ribosomal RNA, 512 nt
Filed under: uncultured Verrucomicrobiota bacterium
Lineage: Bacteria; Pseudomonadati; Verrucomicrobiota
Description: bacterial SSU rRNA
Rfam family: Bacterial small subunit ribosomal RNA
Source: RNAcentral